RNAcentral lists this ribosomal RNA (253 nucleotides) under uncultured bacterium. RNAcentral describes it as "partial 16S ribosomal RNA". It matches the Rfam family "Bacterial small subunit ribosomal RNA", at positions 524 to 776 of the family's 1533-position model. The record is from RNAcentral.
UACGAAGGGGGCUAGCGUUGCUCGGAAUCACUGGGCGUAAAGCGCACGUAGGCGGAUUGCUAAGUCAGGGGUGAAAUCCUGGAGCUCAACUCCAGAACUGCCCUUGAUACUGGCGGUCUCGAGUCCGGGAGAGGUGAGUGGAACUGCGAGUGUAGAGGUGAAAUUCGUAGAUAUUCGCAAGAACACCAGUGGCGAAGGCGGCUCACUGGCCCGGUACUGACGCUGAGGUGCGAAAGCGUGAGGAGCAAACAGG